RNAcentral lists this unclassified non-coding RNA (404 nucleotides) under Hevea brasiliensis (rubber tree). The record is from RNAcentral. Lineage: Eukaryota; Viridiplantae; Streptophyta; Magnoliopsida; Malpighiales; Euphorbiaceae.
GUGAUUUCGAUUCUUUGAUUUUUGAUGAGAGAAGAUCGAGGUGGAGGAGCCAUGGUGAUGGAGCGGCGAAAUGGAUUGAAUCGGAAGCGAUUUGGAGCUUAUUUGCAGUCCGAUCCGGCGAUUUAUACCGGUGAUGAUAAUGAUUUCUCUCCCCGGCAUAGCAAUGCCUCUGCUGCGACUAGUCCGGUGAAUCACUACGACAAAUCGCCGGCGAGUGGUGACGCUUCGCCUUAUUUGAUGUCGCCGUGGAAUCAGUCCGCUUCGCCGUAUUCGAAAUCUCCGUGGAUCGUUCGAUCGGGUAUGAAUUUGUACGACGAUGAAUUUUAUGCUCAGAAUGGACUCAUCGGCUCUCUGGUGCGAGAGGAAGGUCAUGUGUAUUCGUUGGCGGUGGCAGGGGAUUUGUU